This 701-nucleotide small RNA is filed under the name Arabidopsis thaliana (thale cress). RNAcentral's name for it is "ATSL044960". Lineage: Eukaryota; Viridiplantae; Streptophyta; Magnoliopsida; Brassicales; Brassicaceae. The record is from RNAcentral.
AUAAAGAGUAAAGUUGUCAUUGUGUGAUGCACACAAAAAUCAUCUAAAGUAAAUUUUGGUAGUGCGGAUUUAAUUGUCAAAAGUCGUCCAUGAAAAUCGAUUGUCAUUAAUCAUUUGUUAGACUAAAAUCAAAUGAUUUGUUAGCCUAAGUUGAUCAUUUUUAAUAUGAUAUAAUUAAACUAAAAAUAUUUUACGAGGAUACUAUUUCACUACUUGAUAACAUUUCUACUCAUAAAUCAAAAGAGGUCGCAGAAGAGUUGGUGUAAACGACAUCUAUAAUCAGAUUCGUUGGAGCUACCAUCAAUUAAAAGAGAGUAUCGGCAGAACCACAUGUAUGACGUUUAGGAUGCUGCCAUGGCUGUCUAUUCAGGUCACAUAUAUCAAAAGUUCUACCAUUUCGUGAUUGGUGAAAUAGAGAUUAUAUCACCCAAAAUAAAAAAUUCCAACGUACCAUAUGAUACUUUUGCAUCCUUUUUUACCCAGACAAUAUAACUUUAUAUGAGCUUAGUUUCUUUGAUAAUUUUUUCUGUAGGCGGUCUCUUUGUCGCCCAAUACAUGUGCACUUUGUCAUUAAAAUCACUGACCUUCAACUUCUCAUCUAUCCUAUGUGUUUCAAGCACAUUUAAUUAAUUCAUAAGAUUUACAUAUUCUGUAUACAUAUGGGUUUUCAUAAAACAACUAUGCAUUCUUUGUGCAAUAAU